GGGCCUAUAGCUGUGGGGCAGCUGGUUAGAGCGCACGCCUGAUAAGCGUGAGGUCGGUGGUUCGAGUCCAUUUAAGGCCCACCA
RNAcentral lists this transfer RNA (84 nucleotides) under Staphylococcus pseudintermedius. RNAcentral's name for it is "tRNA-Ile". It matches the Rfam family "tRNA". From Rfam's summary of the family: Transfer RNA (tRNA) molecules are approximately 80 nucleotides in length. Their secondary structure includes four short double-helical elements and three loops (D, anti-codon, and T loops). Further hydrogen bonds mediate the characteristic L-shaped molecular structure. tRNAs have two regions of fundamental functional importance: the anti-codon, which is responsible for specific mRNA codon recognition, and the 3' end, to which the tRNAs corresponding amino acid is attached (by aminoacyl-tRNA synthetases). tRNAs cope with the degeneracy of the genetic code in two manners: having more than one tRNA (with a specific anti-codon) for a particular amino acid; and 'wobble' base-pairing, i.e. permitting non-standard base-pairing at the 3rd anti-codon position. Lineage: Bacteria; Bacillati; Bacillota; Bacilli; Caryophanales; Staphylococcaceae. The record is from RNAcentral.